AUAUAUAUAUAUAUAUAUGUAUGUAUAUAUUGUAAAUUAGAUAAAGAAGAAAGCAGGUGGCUGCCAGCCGAGAGAGAGCAGAAAGAAAAAGAAAGAAAAGAAAAAGAGCAAAAAGAAAAGGAAGAUAUUUUAAAUUUUGUGGGGCCCACCCCCCAUUUAAUCAUUUUAAAUGGCCUUAGGGCCAUCACAGGCCCUCAUUUUUUUUCUUCUUUCUCGGCAGAUUCUCUCUCCAUUUUUCUUUUUCUUUUUUUCUUUUCUUUGCUACAACAAUUCAAGCCUCGGUUUUGAUCUAGCCUUUGAGAAUUUGAUAGUGCUGUUUGAGACAAAGUUAGAGAGCUCGUCGAGCUCUUCGUUUUGAUCGGAGCCGAUUCAUGAUUUGGUGUCCUUGGGAUUUUCAAAAUUAGGGCUUGGAAUUGGGGUUUUUUGUAUCCUUUGAGGUCUUGGAAAGGAACUGGUGGAUGACAACCCAACUCAAGCUUGAACGGCGUUAGAAGUUCACUUUUGUAUCUUUGUAUAUUCCCCAUUAUUUUGUAAAACACUAGAAGUACAAAGAUGUAUAAUUAUUUUGUGGAACUUUGUCAUGUAAUAUAACUAAAGUAUUGAUGAUGUUUUGGAUGGGGAUUUGAUAGUA
Molecule: long non-coding RNA, 631 nt
Organism: Cornus florida
Lineage: Eukaryota; Viridiplantae; Streptophyta; Magnoliopsida; Cornales; Cornaceae
Exons: 2
Source: RefSeq, a predicted model, not a curated record